Molecule: ribosomal RNA, 480 nt
Filed under: uncultured bacterium
Lineage: Bacteria
Description: bacterial SSU rRNA
Rfam family: Bacterial small subunit ribosomal RNA
Source: RNAcentral
UUGAACGCUGGCGGAAUGCUUUACACAUGCAAGUCGAGCGGCAGCGCGGGGCAACCUGGCGGCGAGCGGCGAACGGGUGAGUAAUAUAUCGGAACAUAUCCUGUCGUGGGGGAUAACUAAUCGAAAGGUUAGCUAAUACCGCAUACGACCUGAGGGAGAAAGCGGGGGCUCGCAAGACCUCGCGCGAUUGGAGUGGCCGAUAUCUGAUUAGCUAGAUGGUGAGGUAAAGGCUCACCAUGGCGACGAUCAGUAGCUGGUCUGAGAGGAUGAUCAGCCACACUGGAACUGAGACACGGUCCAGACUCCUACGGGAGGCAGCAGUGGGGAACUUUGGACAAUGGGGGAAACCCUGAUCCAGCCAUUCCGCGUGAGUGAAGAAGGCCUUCGGGUUGUAAAGCUCUUUCAGGAGGGAAGAAACGGUUGCGGCUAAUACCCGCGACUAAUGACGGUACCUUCAGAAGAAGCACCGGCUAACUACGU